RNAcentral lists this ribosomal RNA (471 nucleotides) under Aspergillus tamarii. RNAcentral describes it as "eukaryotic LSU rRNA". The stretch from base 156 to 309 matches the Rfam family "5.8S ribosomal RNA". Lineage: Eukaryota; Fungi; Ascomycota; Eurotiomycetes; Eurotiales; Aspergillaceae. The record is from RNAcentral.
CCUCCCACCCGUGUUUACUGUAACCUUAGUUGCUUCGGCGGGCCCGCCUUUAAGGCCGCCGGGGGGCAUCAGCCCCCGGGCCCGCGCCCGCCGGAGACACCACGAACUCUGUCUGAUCUAGUGAAGUCUGAGUUGAUUGUAUCGCAAUCAGUUAAAACUUUCAACAAUGGAUCUCUUUGUUCUGGCAUCGAUGAAGAACGCCGCGAAAUGCGAUAACUAGUGUGAAUUGCAGAAUUCCGUGAAUCAUCGAGUCUUUGAACGCACAUUGCGCCCCCUGGUAUUCCGGGGGGCAUGCCUGUCCGAGCGUCAUUGCUGCCCAUCAAGCACGGCUUGUGUGUUGGGUCGUCGUCCCCUCUUCGGGGGGGACGGGCCCCAAAGGCAGCGGCGGCACCGCGUCCGAUCCUCGAGCGUAUGGGGCUUUGUCACCCGCUCUGUAGGCCCGGCCGGCGCUUGCCGAACGCAAAACAACCA